GCAGUUGUGGCUCAGUGGCAGGGCCUCGGCUUGACGUGCAGGAUACCACCGGUUCGAUCCCCGGGCUCUGCA
RNAcentral lists this transfer RNA (72 nucleotides) under Sphaerodactylus townsendi. RNAcentral's name for it is "tRNA-Val". The record is from RNAcentral. Lineage: Eukaryota; Metazoa; Chordata; Lepidosauria; Squamata; Sphaerodactylidae.